Molecule: ribosomal RNA, 474 nt
Filed under: uncultured bacterium
Lineage: Bacteria
Description: SSU rRNA
Rfam family: Bacterial small subunit ribosomal RNA
Source: RNAcentral
AGGACGAACGCUGGCGGCGUGCUUAACACAUGCAAGUCGAACGGAAAGGCCCUUUCGGGGGUGCUCGAGUGGCGAACGGGUGAGUAACACGUGGGUGAUCUGCCCUGCACUUUGGGAUAAGCCUGGGAAACUGGGUCUAAUACCGAAUACACCCUGCUGGUCGCAUGGCCUGGUGGGGGAAAGCUUUUGCGGUGUGGGAUGGGCCCGCGGCCUAUCAGCUUGUUGGUGGGGUGAUGGCCUACCAAGGCGACGACGGGUAGCCGGCCUGAGAGGGUGUCCGGCCACACUGGGACUGAGAUACGGCCCAGACUCCUACGGGAGGCAGCAGUGGGGAAUAUUGCGCAAUGGGCGGAAGCCUGACGCAGCGACGCCGCGUGGGGAUGAAGGCCUUCGGGUUGUAAACCCCUUUCACCAGGAGCGAAUCAAGACGGUACCUGGGGAAGAAGCGCCGGCUAACUACGUGCCAGCAGCCGC